Molecule: ribosomal RNA, 253 nt
Filed under: uncultured bacterium
Lineage: Bacteria
Description: partial 16S ribosomal RNA
Rfam family: Bacterial small subunit ribosomal RNA
Source: RNAcentral
GACGAACCGUGCGAACGUUGUUCGGAAUCACUGGGCUUAAAGGGCGCGUAGGCGGACUGCCGCGUCCGGGGUGAAAUCCCACGGCUCAACCGUGGAACGGCCCCGGAUACGGGCGGUCUCGAGGGAGGUAGGGGCAUGCGGAACUACGGGUGGAGCGGUGAAAUGCGUUGAUAUCCGUGGGAACUCCGGUGGCGAAGGCGGCGUGCUGGACCUCACCUGACGCUGAGGCGCGAAAGCCAGGGGAGCAAACGGG